UGGGGAAUCUUGCGCAAUGGACGAAAGUCUGACGCAGCGACGCCGCGUGGGUGAUGAAGGCCUUCGGGUUGUAAAGCCCUGUGGGGAGAGACGAAUAAGUCGUGGCUAAUAUCCACGAUGAUGACGGUAUCUCCUUAGCAAGCACCGGCUAACUCUGUGCCAGCAGCCGCGGUAAGACAGAGGGUGCAAACGUUGUUCGGAAUUACUGGGCGUAAAGCGCAUGUAGGCGGCCUGAUAGGUCGGAUGUGAAAUCCCUCGGCUCAACCAAGGAAGUGCAUUCGAAACCAUCAGGCUGGAGUCCCGGAGAGGAAGGUGGAAUUCUCGGUGUAGAGGUGAAAUUCGUAGAUAUCGAGAGGAACACCGGUGGCGAAAGCGGCCUUCUGGACGAGGACUGACGCUGAGAUGCGAAAGCGUGGGGAGCAAACAGG
RNAcentral lists this ribosomal RNA (428 nucleotides) under uncultured bacterium. RNAcentral's name for it is "bacterial SSU rRNA". It matches the Rfam family "Bacterial small subunit ribosomal RNA", at positions 355 to 776 of the family's 1533-position model. The record is from RNAcentral.